GCCAAUGAUGGAAAAAUAGAGACUGUCUGAAAUGCAGUUGUUUUGGUUAGCUGCAUAAAUUUGUUGAAAUUUCAUGAACUAGGACGGUCUGAGGC
Molecule: small nucleolar RNA, 95 nt
Filed under: Corchorus capsularis
Lineage: Eukaryota; Viridiplantae; Streptophyta; Magnoliopsida; Malvales; Malvaceae
Description: snoRNA snoR20a
Rfam family: Small nucleolar RNA snoR20a
About the family: The O.sativum sequence was obtained from the plant snoRNA database.
Source: Rfam by way of RNAcentral